GAACGAACGCUGGCGGCAGGCCUAACCCAUGCAAGUCGAGCGAGGACUUCGGUCCUAGCGGCGGACGGGUGAGUAACGCGUGGGAACGUGCCCUUUGCUUCGGAAUAGCCCUGGGAAACUGGGAGUAAUACCGGAUGAGCCCUUUGGGGGAAAGAUUUAUCGGCGAAGGAUCGGCCCGCGUUGGAUUAGGUAGUUGGUGGGGUAAUGGCCUACCAAGCCGACGAUCCAUAGCUGGUUUGAGAGGAUGAUCAGCCACACUGGGACUGAGACACGGCCCAGACUCCUACGGGAGGCAGCAGUGGGGAAUCUUAGACAAUGGGGGAAACCCUGAUCUAGCCAUGCCGCGUGAGCGAUGAAGGCCUUAGGGUUGUAAAGCUCUUUCAGCUGGGAAGAUAAUGACGGUACCAGCAGAAGAAGCCCCGGCUAACUCCGUG
Molecule: ribosomal RNA, 434 nt
Filed under: uncultured bacterium
Lineage: Bacteria
Description: partial 16S ribosomal RNA
Rfam family: Bacterial small subunit ribosomal RNA
Source: RNAcentral